CAGCCGCCACGGGAAUACAGAGGGUGCGAGCGUUAAUCGGAUUUACUGGGCGUAAAGCGUGCGUAGGCGGCUUUUUAAGUCGGAUGUGAAAUCCCUGAGCUUAACUUAGGAAUUGCAUUCGAUACUGGGAAGCUAGAGUAUGGGAGAGGAUGGUAGAAUUCCAGGUGUAGCGGUGAAAUGCGUAGAGAUCUGGAGGAAUACCGAUGGCGAAGGCAGCCAUCUGGCCUAAUACUGACGCUGAGGUACGAAAGCAUGGGGAGCAAACAGGAUUAGAUACCCGGGUAGUCCCUGUCUCUUAUAC
This 301-nucleotide ribosomal RNA is filed under the name uncultured bacterium. RNAcentral's name for it is "partial 16S ribosomal RNA". It matches the Rfam family "Bacterial small subunit ribosomal RNA", at positions 509 to 807 of the family's 1533-position model. The record is from RNAcentral.